AAUCCAGGAUAAACUCUCCAUUUCAACAUCCUUAACUUCAUCAUAUUUUAAAACUCGCUUUUAUCGUAGGUAUGAGGGAUCGGCUCAUGGACAUGUUAGGCAGUUAGAAUAGGCUAAAGGAGUCCAAAAUGGCGGUGGCUAAAAGACAAGGAAGGGAAAAGCCCACGAAAAUAGAACAGAAGAAGGUCAAAGGAAGGUCCGAGGACUAGAGUGAGGACUUCAGGUAGAACAGCACUCCUGACUAAGCCCAAGUUGCAUAGGGCAGGCCCAGGGGGAAGAAGAAACAUAAAAAGAAGAGCCAAAGGGCCUCCCUCUCUCUCCCCCAACCACCCCGCGUGCUGGGGCAUUCUUCUCUUCGUGUCUUUGGAUCCUUCUCUUCGUGUCUUUGGAUUGACGUGCCCUCACACCUUGAAGAUGGAUUUUCCUGCUAUCUUCUAAAUAAAAUCGAGCUGUCACGCUGAUUUGUCUAAGAGCUAUAACACGGUCCAUUCAAGACCUGAGAGCUAUAACAAAGUCUGUCCAAGAUCCGAGAGCUGUGACACGCCGAGGGGGCUUUAAUGUCCGUCACCCCAAAUCUUUGUUGUGAUGAGGCAGAAACCGAGGAGCACACGCUCGCCUGACGUCUAUGAUGCCGUGAUUCGGGUUUAACCUGGCUGAAAUAACCUCCGCGCGGAAGAGGCCAAGCACAGCGGGAGCCCGACUCAGCGAAGCUCCCGCGGUAGAAGCGGAACUCAAAGAAAACCCAACGCAGGGGAAGGCCCAUCAUGCUGGAAACCGGGACAGCGAAAAACAAACUGAACAGAAAGCUCACGCGGCUCAGUCUCAGAUUCCAGACCUCUGGUUAAGAAACCUUGGACCACUGGACAAAACCCCCAAGAAGCAUUGUCAGAAGAUCCUCUGACCAACCCUGAGGAAAUCUGGUACACUGAUGGAAGCAGCUUUGUCUUAGAUGGAAGAAGAAGAACUGGGAACGUGGAGCUGGUCUUACCCAAAUUAAACCAGUCAAGACCAUGGAUUGAGUGACUGUUCAAUAGAUGACCUUUUGACAUCAGAGGGCCAAAAACGUCACCCUCAGAUCAUGUUGCUGCUGCUGCUGCUGCUGCUGCUGCUGCUAAGUCGCUUCAGUCGUGUUCGACUCUGUGCGACC
Molecule: long non-coding RNA, 1147 nt
Organism: Capra hircus (goat)
Lineage: Eukaryota; Metazoa; Chordata; Mammalia; Artiodactyla; Bovidae
Exons: 3
Source: RefSeq, a predicted model, not a curated record